GAUGAAGAACGUAGCGAAAUGCGAUACGUAGUGUGAAUUGCAGAAUUCAGUGAAUCAUCGAAUCUUUGAACGCACAUUGCACCUCUCGGUAUUCCGGGAGGUAUGCCUGUUCGAGCGUCAUUUGUACCCUCAAGCUCUGCUUGGUGUUGGGUGUUUGUUCCGCCUCUGCGUGUAGACUCGCCUUAAAACAAUUGGCAGCCGGCGUAUUGAUUUCGGAGCGCAGUACAUCUCGCGCUUUGCACUCAUAACGACGACGUCCAAAAGUACAUUUUUACACUCUUGACCUCGGAUCAGGUAGGGAUACCCGCUGAACUUAAGCAUAUCAAUAAGCGGAGGA
This 337-nucleotide unclassified non-coding RNA is filed under the name soil metagenome. Its description in RNAcentral is "partial contains 5.8S ribosomal RNA, internal transcribed spacer 2, and large subunit ribosomal RNA". The stretch from base 1 to 120 matches the Rfam family "5.8S ribosomal RNA", at positions 35 to 154 of the family's 154-position model. The record is from RNAcentral.